Molecule: microRNA precursor, 108 nt
Filed under: Chlorocebus sabaeus (green monkey)
Lineage: Eukaryota; Metazoa; Chordata; Mammalia; Primates; Cercopithecidae
Description: miRNA (ENSCSAG00000026973.1)
Source: RNAcentral
GCAAAUAUAUAUAUGUGUGUGUGUGUAUAUAUAUACACACAUACAUAUAUAUACAUAUAUAUGUGAAUAUAUACAUACACACACACAUACAUACACACAUAUAUAUCU